RNAcentral lists this ribosomal RNA (403 nucleotides) under uncultured prokaryote. RNAcentral's name for it is "bacterial SSU rRNA". It matches the Rfam family "Bacterial small subunit ribosomal RNA", at positions 355 to 776 of the family's 1533-position model. The record is from RNAcentral. RNAcentral also lists the same sequence under 1 other name.
UGGGGAAUAUUGCACAAUGGGCGAAAGCCUGAUGCAGCAACGCCGCGUGAGCGAAGAAGGCCCUUGGGUCGUAAAGCUCUGUCCGAGGGGAAGAUAAUGACGGUACCCUUGGAGGAAGCCCCGGCUAACUACGUGCCAGCAGCCGCGGUAAUACGUAGGGGGCAAGCGUUAUCCGGAAUUAUUGGGCGUAAAGAGUGCGUAGGUGGUUCUUUAAGCGUGAGGUGAAAGGCAAUGGCUCAACCAUUGUAAGCCUUGCGAACUGGGGGACUUGAGUGCAGGAGAGGUAAGUGGAAUUCCUAGUGUAGCGGUGAAAUGCGUAGAUAUUAGGAGGAACACCAGUGGCGAAGGCGACUUACUGGACUGUAACUGACACUGAGGCACGAAAGCGUGGGGAGCAAACAGG